This 460-nucleotide ribosomal RNA is filed under the name uncultured bacterium. RNAcentral's name for it is "partial 16S ribosomal RNA". It matches the Rfam family "Bacterial small subunit ribosomal RNA", at positions 338 to 795 of the family's 1533-position model. The record is from RNAcentral.
CCUACGGGGGGCAGCAGUGAGGAAUAUUGGUCAAUGGACGAGAGUCUGAACCAGCCAAGUAGCGUGAAGGAUGACUGCCCUAUGGGUUGUAACCUUCUUUUAUAAAGGAAUAAAACGAGGCACGUGUGCCUUUUUGCAUGUACUUUAUGAAUAAGGAUCGGCUAACUCCGUGCCAGCAGCCGCGGUAAUACGGAGGAUCCGAGCGUUAUCCGGAUUUAUUGGGUUUAAGGGGAGCGUAGAUGGGUUGUUAAGUCAGUUGUGAAAGUUUGCGGCUCAACCGUAAAAUUGCAAUUGAUACUGGCAGUCUUGAGUACAGUUGAGGUAGGCGGAAUUCGUGGUGUAGCGGUGAAAUGCUUAGAUAUCACGAAGAACCUCGAUUGCGAAGGCAGCUUACUAAACUGUGACUGACAUUGAUGCUCGAAAGUGUGGGUAUCAAACAGGAUUAGAUACCCUAGUAGUC